This 35-nucleotide transfer RNA is filed under the name Panax japonicus var. bipinnatifidus. RNAcentral describes it as "partial tRNA-His". The record is from RNAcentral. Lineage: Eukaryota; Viridiplantae; Streptophyta; Magnoliopsida; Apiales; Araliaceae.
AAUUCACUGCCUUGAUCCACUUGGCUACAUCCGCC